GGAUCUUCUCAUAUAGGAACUUCUAACAAGGAAGCCUAAACUGGAGAGGGUUUUGUUGUUGUUGUUUAUUUAUUUAUUUAUUUAUUUUUCUGAUUAGAUUUUGAAGAGAUUGUUUUUCCUCCAGGGUAGCUCCUUCAAUUGUAAAGAAAACAAACUCUUGAAGUAUUUUGCUGAACCACCAUAUCGAUGAUUAGGGGAACUUGAAUUAUAAGAGAUUACCAGUUCUCAGUUCUCAGCAAACAAUAUCUGUUUCCAUUUCCAAAAGCUUGAAAAGCAUAGACGGACUUUAUUUCAGCUAACAGCAAAAACUGCAAGAACAGAACCCUUACAAAAUUAUUCUGAUCUCUUCUCUGGCUCAUCUUUUCAUGUGUCUGUUGGCCGUUUGUACAGCCUUCAUUUUUAUGCAGGAAUCAUGCAAGCAGCACUGACAUCGAGUUUAUGGAAGAGUUGCAGAAUGUAUACAAGAUCAGUGCUAAAGUCCAUGUGAUACUAGAGGAAAUCAGUUGGGGACAACAGUUACAAAAUAGGCUGGAUGAAUGAACAAUCUCCAGUGUUAGCUCACCAUGCAAAAUCCUCAAGACGGUGUGGACAUAGCCCUACCCUCCAGGAAAAGAGACCUCAAAAACCUUUUAUUGACACCAUGGGAUAUGCCAGUUGACCUUUCAAGUGAUUACAUCAGCUCUAUCUUUUCUAGAGUACAGAAUCCAGACCAGGAUCACAUGUUUCAUUUAGUCAUCAUUGUCUCUCUUGAUACAAGAACAGAUUUCUGAAUUUCCGUGGUCAUUAGUGGCAUUGACAAUUUUGAAGAAUAAAGGUCAGCUACUUUUAGAGUACUCAUCACUUUGGGUUUGUCUGAUAGUGUUGCAUCUGGAGAUGACAUCAAUUGGUUUUUGAAUUUCAAAUCAUCACUGCAUUUUGAGAAUAAGUGCAUUUUGGGAAUACCCGCAUUUGAUGUACUAGUAUAUAUUUAGCAUUUUCGUCUCUAUGUUCAUGAGAAAGACAAGCCUUAAUUUUUCUUUCUUGAAAUAUAUUUGUCAAGUUUUAGUGUUAAGCUUGGGUUGGCUAUAUUAAUGAGUUGUUUGCUAUUUUUCUAUAUUGUGGAAAAGUUUGUUUUCCAAGACUGAUGUUAUUUUAAAAUAUUUACUAGUAAGUCCAAUACGGGUCUGAGUUUUUGAGGAGUAAAUAAUUUAAUAAAAUAUACAAUCAAUUUAAUAGAAACAGGGCUUUAAGGUUUAUCUAUUUCUUUAAUUUUGUCAUUUGUGCUAAGUUUUUUUCUAGUAAUUUGUCCAUUUUCCCUUUUUUCUUUCUUUGCCCUGAAAUUGCUCAAAAUAUGCUUCUAAUUUAUUUUUAGUUUCUGUAGCCUCUUCAGUGAUAUCUUUUUAAAUUUUUCCUGAUAUUAAAAUUUUUAUAACUAAUAAUUAUUCUCUGUGUCUUAAGGUUUCUCAAUUUUAUUAUUUUUUCAAAGCUCUAAUUUUUAGUCUGUUGAUUUUAUCUUUAGCAUGUUUGUUUUCUAUUUUAUUGAUUUCCUCUCUUUAUAAUUUUCUUUUCAUUUAGUUUAGGUUUAAUUUUUUAAAAAUGUUUAAUAAACUUAUAUCACUUGUCUUCAG
Long non-coding RNA from Mustela lutreola (European mink), 1607 nucleotides. RefSeq lists it as uncharacterized. NCBI's taxonomy places the organism in Eukaryota, Metazoa, Chordata, Mammalia, Carnivora, Mustelidae. The transcript is spliced from 5 exons. The record is from RefSeq and is a predicted model, not a curated record.